RNAcentral lists this long non-coding RNA (237 nucleotides) under Elaeis guineensis (African oil palm). RNAcentral describes it as "long non-coding RNA (EGUI_LNC007954)". Lineage: Eukaryota; Viridiplantae; Streptophyta; Magnoliopsida; Arecales; Arecaceae. The record is from RNAcentral.
CCUCACAUGCAUCGGACCUUCAGUAUUGAAGGGUCAUAGAUCAGAUUGUGGAGAGAGUUGGUGCCAUAUUUUCAAACUUCAAACAGCAAAUGUUUCAGAGGCACGACAAGCUCAAGCAGACCUCUUAAAAAUAGUAUGAGGAGUUUCGUCAGAAUAUAGGAGUUUCGUUAGAAUAUUAAGGGUUUGGCUUGAAGAUUUGAGGUGUUAGAGAGGGUGCAAAGUCAGAGUUCUGAUCUU